AACGAACGCUGGCGGCAGGCCUAACACAUGCAAGUCGAACGCUGCAGCAAUGCAGAGUGGCAGACGGGUGAGCAACGCGUGGGAACCUUCCCAAUGGUACGGAAUAGCCCAGGGAAACUUGGGGUAAUACCGUAUAAGCCCCAUGGGGGAAAGAUUUAUCGCCAUUGGAUGGGCCCGCGUCGGAUUAGCUAGUUGGUGAGGUAACGGCUCACCAAGGAGACGAUCCGUAGCUGGUUUGAGAGAAUGACCAGCCACACUGGGACUGAGACACGGCCCAGACUCCUACAGGAGGCAGCAGUGGGGAAUCUUGGACAAUGGGCGAAAGCCUGAUCCAGCCAUGCCGCGUGAGUGACGAAGGCCUUAGGGUUGUAAAGCUCUUUUGGCGGGGACGAUAAUGACGGUACCCGCAGAAUAAGUCCCGGCUAACUUCGUGCCAGCCGCCGCCGUAA
RNAcentral lists this ribosomal RNA (449 nucleotides) under uncultured bacterium. RNAcentral's name for it is "partial 16S ribosomal RNA". It matches the Rfam family "Bacterial small subunit ribosomal RNA", at positions 29 to 523 of the family's 1533-position model. The record is from RNAcentral.